RNAcentral lists this small RNA (117 nucleotides) under Paramuricea clavata. It matches the Rfam family "Potassium channel RNA editing signal". From Rfam's summary of the family: This family represents a group of sequences related to the human potassium channel Kv1.1 hairpin element which directs the efficient modification of an adenosine to inosine by an adenosine deaminase acting on RNA (ADAR). The ADAR modification causes an isoleucine/valine recoding event which lies in the ion-conducting pore of the potassium channel. It is thought that this editing event targets the process of fast inactivation and allows a more rapid recovery from inactivation at negative potentials. Lineage: Eukaryota; Metazoa; Cnidaria; Anthozoa; Malacalcyonacea; Plexauridae. The record is from RNAcentral.
CUCAGUAUAUGAAUAUAUUUAUUUUAUUACCUAUAUAUAGGUAAAGUCAUUGGGGCAAUGUGUGCGUUAUCAGGUGUACUUGCCAUCGCCUUGCCUGUCCCCGUCAUUGUUAGCAAC